This is a non-coding RNA of Podarcis muralis (Common wall lizard), 2481 nucleotides long. Lineage: Eukaryota; Metazoa; Chordata; Lepidosauria; Squamata; Lacertidae. The record is from RefSeq and is a predicted model, not a curated record.
CUCCCCCCCCCCAAGAUGGUAUCUCUUUCAUGUAGUACUUUCCACUGACAAUUGGGAGAAGCUAGAGCUGGGGUGAUGGACCUGGAGCCAUCCAGAUGUUGGGUGCUUGAUCAUUGGUCAUGCUGCCUAAGGGGCUGGAUGAAAGUUAUAGUCCAACAAUAUUUGGAGGGCCACAGGUUCUCCAUCCUGGAAAGGAGAGGGGGAAAGCAGCUUCUAAGGCCGCCAAACAAUCCUGAGGGAUGUUGUGAGGGACUCAACAGAAAAUUUCUUUCCAGUAUCUUCAGGCAAGCAAUAAUAAUAAUAAUUGGGAAAAAGUUAACCUUCAGAUUUAUCCUCCAGGAAAAGAAUCAGGCCAAAAAGGAUUAUGGGAGUACUUCCUACAGCAACAUACUCAUUCCAAGGGGUUAAAAUAAGAUAGCUAAAUAGAAAUAUACUAAGCUCUCUCUCUUUUUCUCAGUUUUAACCACUCCUGCUGAGAGAUUUCAAAGAAGCCCCUGAGGACUUAGUUUUCAGAAGUGUUGAGAAACUUCUAAGCUCUCAAGGACAGAUAUAAGGUUUGCAGGGAACCAGAACUCCUAAAAUAGAUAUCAAAUAUAAAAUCAGAGCAUAUCCAGCUAAAGCCACACACACCCCAACCCAUGAGUUUCAUCUUGCUCAUCUUUAUUGCGCAGACUUGCUAAAUCUCAGGUAGCUAUUGAACCAGUUCUCAGGACUUCAAGGUCUCUACAAAUUCUAGCCUAGGUGUGGGGACCUUUGGCCUUCCAAAUAUUGCUGAGCUACAACUCCCACAAUCCCUAACCCUUGGCUAUGCUUGCUAGGGCCGAUGAGAUUGGAGUUCAGCAACAUCUGGGGGGCUAAGGAUCCCCAUUCCUACUCUAAGCCGACGUGGUGGUCCCCAGCUGUGUUGGAUGACAACUCCCAUCAGCCACAGUGAACAUGGCCAAGGGUCAGAGAUUAUGGAAGUUCUCAUUCACACCAUCUGGCAGCUACCCUGCACCUACAGAAUAAGCUACAUUAAAUCACCAGCAACACCCUAAAGGUGUUCCAGUUCAGGCACAAUGUUGCGAAUACACAAAGAACAUGGCUGCACUGGCGCUGGCUGUUUCUGCCAUUGUGAUGACACCAUCUGCAACAAGGAAACAGGCUACUAUGCUGAUUACAUGGAUCAGAAAUGCCUGGGGAAUUCAUUUAUGAUUCCAGUUUGACCACCACACUUGCACUUGGGAGCACAACCAAGCAAAAAGCUCUUGCACUCCUGGUUCAGCACCUUGGGCAGUAACUUUCUGGCGCCUCAUCUCAGAACUGCUUCCUGGACCCAAAGGAUGCAUGAAUAGAUAGUGCAAGAUGAAGUUACAGAGUGUGGGGCUGCGGUCCAUAGGGGUGUGGUGUGUGCUGGAUGUGUAUUGGUUCCUUAUCUUGAAACCAGUACACAGAUGCACUCUGAAAGAUGAGAGACAUUUCAUACGGCCUAUAGGACAAGUGCCACUUUCCGCUGUCAAAAAAUUCAACUGGAUACUGAAACUUUGAUGAGUGCAGUCCAACCGUCACCCAUAUGAUGUGAACGCCGUCGAAUGUGUUCCCACCCACUGCCUUAUGACAGCAGGCAGCAAUAGCAGAAUCAGGUGGGAAAGAAAAUGCUUGUGGUUUGGGGGGUGUUUGUUUUUUGCUUACAUCUAGUCAUAUGAAUUUAAAAGCAGGAAGAAGGGAAGAAAAUGAUGAUGAAAUAGUUCCAUGCUGUUCUACAAAAAGCAUCUAUUUUGAGGCAGGGCAGGAGAUAUCUAAAGCCAGCUACUUGUGGAGGAUGCAUCAGCGCUUUGAUGCCAUGGUGAUAGGUUCCUUAGAAAGACCAAAAAUAGAGCAAGAUGGAUGAGAGGAGUUCAGAGAGGGGGUGGACACGUUUUACAGUGAUGGAUCUUUUUUAAAGACUGCAAAAUACACCCACUUUCCUGGUUUAAUAACUGCCUUUUCCUCAAAGAAGAGAGAAGAACGAGGAACAGUGACUAUUGGACCUUUGGUGGAAAGAAACAGUAAUAUGUUGAAUGAAGGUGCCGCCCACUAACCAUUUGGGAAGGGCAAAGUCACAUAAGCAAGGCCUUGACCUCUGCUGCUCCCCUGCUUGAAAUGAAGCUGGUGUUCAAAUAAUCACUGAAACAGAUAUAAUCAAGCUGGCACAGAAUUCCACAAAGCUCAGAGUUAACCCUUAGCUAGGUCAUAUCCGCACAUUUUGGGAAGAAGGGUUACAAAACUCUUCGUUCCCUCUCUCUGACCAAGUGAAACCUACCAGGAAGGAAGUCUAAGCUGGAUGCUCCAAGCUUAGACUGCAUGGCUUAAGCAAACCAUCUUUGUGAUUCUAUACAAAUAAUUUAGAAACAUUUACCAUUUUGAAACCUAAGUUAUAUUGCCUGUCUCUUCUUGCUGCUAUAUGGAAAAGAACAUGAAUCAGACCUUUCAAGACUUUGUAAGUAAACCAUUUUUAACUUA